Molecule: non-coding RNA, 5468 nt
Organism: Macaca mulatta (Rhesus monkey)
Lineage: Eukaryota; Metazoa; Chordata; Mammalia; Primates; Cercopithecidae
Source: RefSeq, a predicted model, not a curated record
CUAGGAUUGCAACCCCUGCCUUUUUUUGUUUUCCUUUUGUUUGGUAGAUCUAGAAAAGGCUUUCAAUAAAAUUCAAUGCCUCUCCAUAUUAAAAACUCCAAAAAAUCUGGGGUAUUGAAGAAACAUAACUCAAAAUGAUGAGCUGUUUUUGUACCAGUAUCAUGCUGUUUUGGUUACUGUAGCCCUGUAGUGUAGUUUGAAGUUGGGUAACGUGAUGCCUCCAGCUUCGUUCUUUUUGCUGAGGAUUGCUUGGCUAUUAGAGCUCUUUUUUUGGUUCUGCAUGAAUUUUGAAAUAGUUUGCUCUAGUUCUGUGAGGAAUGCGAUUGGUAGUUUAAUAGGGAUAGCUUGCAUCUGUAAAUUACUUUGGGCAGUAUAGCCAUUUUAAUGACAUUAAUUCUUCCUAUCCAUGAGAAUGAAAUGUUUUUCCGUUUGUUUAUGUCUUCUCUGAUUUCUUUGAGCAGUGUUUUGUAAUUCUCCUAGAGAUCUCCUAGAGAUCUUUCACCUCCCUGGUUAGCUGUAUUCCUAGGUAUUUUAGUUUUUCUGUGUGUAGCAAUUAUGAAUGGGAUUGUGUUCUUCAUUUGACUCUCUUCUUGACUUGAUGUAUAGGACUGCUAGUAAUUUUCACACAUUGAUUUUGUAUGCUAAGAUUUUGCUACAGUUUAUCAGCAGAAGCAGCUUUGGGGCCAAGACUGUGGGGUUUUCUGGACAUGGAAUCAUGUCAUCUGUAAACAGAGACAGUUUGAUUUGCUAUCUAUUCCUCUCUUCCUUCCUCUAUUUGGAUGCCCUUCCAGUUUUGCACAUUCAGUGUAAUGUUGGCUGUGGGUUUGUCAUGGCUAGCUCUCAUCAUCUUGGCACUUCUGACUAGAAGGGCAAGAGGGGCCAGUGUUGUUGUUCCCUGAAAGGUAAGUGCAGCCCACAAUUACAAAUGUAGUGAAGAAGAUACAUGCAUAUGUAUAAGUAAAUAUAAUUGAGAUAUAUUUAGCAGACAUAAUCAAUAGAGUUGAUGAGUGACUGACUGGAUGUGUGGGGAAUUUAUAUCACUCCCAGGUUUUUGACUUGGGCAACUGGACACUCACGAAGGAAAAAGAGGAUCCAAGGAGAGGAACUUGUCUGAGGACUGGGGUAGGGCUGAACAGCUGCAUUUGAGACUAGUGGAGGGUGGGCUGGGCAUGGGAUGCACAAAUGGAAAUUCCACUGGGUCUGCAGCUCACACAUGGGCAUGACCAGCAUAGAGAUAGAGAGGCCCCAACACUGCUGAGAAACUGUAAUUCCCUGGUGAUGGUGUCAGCUGAGAAGGGAAGGAAGCCCAUUUGAGGACACCGAUCAUUUGAGGACACUGAAGAAGGAGUGAGCAGACAAAAAGAAGCCCACAGAAGACAGGGAAGAAACAACUAGAGGGAGAAGCCAAGGCAAGCGUGUGUGGUAACAUAUAGGAACUGAGGGAGAGGACAUUUCAAGAUGGAGGGGAUGUCAUACAACAGGACUAUGCAAUGGUUUUUGACUGUGUCCACAGGAAGUCACAACAGGCAAGGGAAAGAAACCAGAACCCUGUCAUGGAGUUAAGGAGUGAGUCAGAGAGGAGAUGGGUAGGGACAGUGAGGUAAGGCCUCUUUUUAAGGAAUUUUGGCUGAAGGAUAGACUAGCUGGACACAUGCUUGGUGUGUGGGGUAGAGGGAGGAAUGAUGCGGGGUAGGAGAGCCUUGAGCCUGUGAGAAGAAUCUCCUAGAACAGAGAAGCUGAAGUUAAAGUUAUGGGAGAGAGUGGGGAUAACUGAGUGACAGAUAAUCAGUGACCUUUGCCAAGAGCACAGCCCUCUUUCACUGUCACAGAGAGGAAGGACAAAACAAUUGGUGUUCAAGAGUUUGUAGCACAAUAUUUUAACUAUGUCCUUUAAAAAGUUUCUCCACAGACACUACCCAAAGCAGUCCUUCACUACAGUGGCAGAUGGACCUGAACAUUUUCACCUGAAGCAGCAGAGGGAACUGCAGAGUCAGAUUUGGAAUCAUGUAUUUUCCACCAAUUUGACUUGAGAGUAUAGACCUUUGGGAUAUCAGCAUCAUGGAGCCAGAGCAUUAGCCGCCCCAGGAGCUGAGCAGAGAGCCUCAUUGUGAGAAGGUGAACUGAGGAGUCCUGGUCUGUCAAGGCAAGGUUACAGCUGAGCUUUUACCUCCUUCCCUAGGGCACAACAUGCAAAUCACCUGGUGGGUGCAGCAGUGUGGAAAGGGUCAAUGGUGGAGGGGUAUGUCUCUACUGUAAACAAUGUGAUAUAAAAUGUCCGUUGGAGUAAAACAAACAUAGUUCAAGUCAAGUAUGCCUGUAGCAGGUAAGGACAGGAAACACUAGGAUCUCCUCCCAGUGACGUGACUGAGCAUCCCUGCAGCCAUGAGGACAGCAGGAAACUUUAGUGGCUGCUCCAGGGAGGAUAUGGCAGCCAACACUGGAGGGUCUGUGGGGCUUGAACGCCCCAAGGAGUUAGGAAGGAAGAGGCUCUGGAAGGUGCCUUGGAGAGACCUGGCCCCUGUUCACACAGAAGAGGAGCAUGCACCCAUGACUGAGGCCUCAUGUCCUCUUCCUCAAAGACUCUCCAGGCAACUGCCUGAGCCCACCUGAUUCUACCCUCUGUGGACACAUUCCCUGGCACCACAACCUCUCCUUCCACACGGAGAGGCUGAGCUUCCUUGAGAGCUUUGUGUUUGGGGCCGUCACACUGUGCAGGGUCCCAAUGAGCGUCCUGCUCACAGGAGGAUGUGCAACAUCUCCAGGUUCCAAAGUAGUGUUUGUGAUGGUGAAAUCCCUUGAAUUUUGGUUAGAUGUGAGUCCCCACUUGUGAAUACCUUCUACAGACAUGUCAUUCUUUGUUUUGCAAAAUAUUUUCUAUAAAGCAUCCUUUCUUUGUUUUUGAACUUUUUUUUGGUUAGGAAUAUAAUUUUAAUUGCACUACCUUUAGUCUCCACACUGGUGAUUGUGGGAGUGAAAUCGAUAGAUUUUGGUUUGGAUGUGUGUUCUCACUCAUGAAUGGAAAAGUAAAGACUUGUCAUUCUUUGUAUGUGUGACAAAUUCCUUGCUGUAUUCCAUGAUUUCCUUUUUUUUGACAUUUCUGCUUGGAAAUACAAUUUUAAAUUCAUUCACAAUGGGAUCCAUCAUCUUAGAAUAGACAAUAAUUUCUGAUGUGAUUCAUUUCUUAACCAGAAAAAAAGAUAUUUUGUCCUUUUGAUACAAACAUUACUUUAAUCAUAUCACCUCAUGACAGGUAACUGACAUGCUCAUGAAAAAUUCAUAAAUAUUUUUGGAGCAUUAUUUUAAGUGACUCUAUGCAAAUCAUACAUUUUUCUAUACCAUUACUGUUAGAAUAUAGAAAUCAGAUUUAUUUUUAGGUAAUGACCACAUUGUGUAAAAAUAAUACAUUUACUUAUUUCAAAAUCUUUUAUUGAUUUUUAUGGCAACGUAAUAUAAAAAUUGUCAUUUAUCAAAACCUGCUGGAUUACAUCCUGCCUGGCCUUCUGCUUAGCAUAUCAGUGCUUCUGACAUCUCCCAGACCCAACCAGUGGUCUCUGCUAGACCUCCUCGAAGGAUAGAAUAAGUUUCAGAAGCUCUGCUUGGCUGCUGUGAUUUGACUCGGACUGAGUGACAUGACCUCAGGUCUCCUUGUACAAGGACUUCAUUAAACCUUUGGUGAUUAUAGAAGUAAAGCCCUACUCACUACAUUACUUUCCUGUGAGACUCCCAGUGGCACAGGCUUCACCCAGGAAGCCAGGCAGCAGUGCCUUCAACUCUGUGGUUCUUCACAAGUAACAUAUUUGGCCUCUUUUUGGAUCCACAUCAUCAACUACCAUAUCCACCACCAUCCACAUCCCAUCCACCAUAAUCAAGGGCAGUUUAAUUGAACAGUAGCUGACCUCUCCUAUGUUCUUUUGAUGUUCCCAUUCCUCCAGUCUGCCCAAUCUCAAAUUCUGAACUUUGGAAAAUAAAACAGUUUACAUCAUCCUGUAUUUUCUCAGUGAUCCAUGGAAAAUACGACAUUUUUAGUAUACUGUGUCUUCCAGCAUAUGCAUUUUGUUUUUAAAAACAACUUUUGAAAUGUUAUUAAAUCCCUUUUUCUAUCAGCAAGAGGUAAUUGUAAUCAAAGGAUUUUAGUAUUGGGAACUUGUGUCUGCUAUGAAAUGACAAAAUAUAUUUAACACUCACAACCUUGAUGUUACUGAUUGUCCUCAGCCAAUUCCCCCUGAGGAGAACUCGUGGAGAAUCCUGUCUCUACUGUCUCAUGGAGUGGAGAAGAAUGUGUGAAAUCAGUGUCUGACCCACUGCCACUGAACCUGUCUGGGACUCCAGAGGCCCGGUUGGAAACCUCAUAAAUCAAGAGCUGUGGAGACUGGCCUGGCUUCUGCAGGUACCAUUCCAAAUAGGUGUUUCCAUCCUCACUAUCCAAGAGGCUCUGACUAGACCUGCAGGAGAUGGAGGCCGGCUCUCCAAGGGUGACGGGCAGGGAGAGUGGAGUCUGGGUCAUCACAAUGUCCCCACUGGAUCCUGAAAUAACAGAGAAGCACAAGGAUAUAUAGACACAUUUUGACCAAGGUUCCUGAUUUCCCUUAAGAUAUUGAUUUACAGUUACAUAUAUUUUCAAGUUUGGAUUUAUAUCAUAAAAAGUAAACUUUCUAAAAUGAACCCAUUAUUUACUAGCCAGCAGGGAACUCUUUAUUUUCAAGAUCUUAACCAGAGCACUGGUCAUUGUUCCUGGGAGGUGAUGCAUGCUUAUUCCUGACACAAAAAUAUGAAUUCUUUUUCCUGGAGCAUAGACCAUGUGCCUCUAACAGAUUCUUGAAAUAAAUAUAUGAAGGUGUGGAGCCCCAGAACUCACCUUCCCACCCCAUUUUCCCACCUCAUUUUAAUGCUGUCCUUACCAGGGAGCCAGAGCAUUAGCAGUCCCAGGAGCUGAGCAGGGAGCCUCAUUGUGAGAAGGUGACCUGAGGAGUCGUGAUCAGUCAAGGCAAGGUUAGUGCUGAGCUUUUAUCUCACACUCACAAUGGAGGGACCUUUUUAGGGGACAAUAUGCAAAUCCCCUGGUGGGUGCAGUGAUGUGAAAAAGGUUGAUGGGGCAGGGGGAAUGUCUCUUCAGUGAACAACGUGACAUAAAAUGUUCGUUGGAGCAAAACAAACAUAGUUCAAGUCAAGUUCGCCUGUGGUCAAGGGAAGAAGGCUCUGACUGUGCAAGUUGGGACCUUAGGCAGGGACACAUUGUGCAGAGCAUGCCACACUGAGAAAGCACAAACACCCUGACAAUGUGGAAAUGUGUUUCUAGGAUGCAUCUCUGGGGGGGUAAAUGUUAUCCUGCAUGGCUCCCUCCAGUCAAUCUAGAGAAGAAAACAGCCCCAUUCCCACAAGCACUGAAGGGCAGAGGGCCUGCAAAUGAAAAGUGCUCCUGAGCGAGUUCAAGUGUUGCCUGGUGUCUGCUGUUUCCAGGACAACUGGUC